RNAcentral lists this long non-coding RNA (346 nucleotides) under Lupinus angustifolius (narrow-leaved blue lupine). RNAcentral describes it as "long non-coding RNA (LANG_LNC002331)". Lineage: Eukaryota; Viridiplantae; Streptophyta; Magnoliopsida; Fabales; Fabaceae. The record is from RNAcentral.
GAAAUUGCUGUUUCUACACCAUUUAAAUGAUUAAUCUUUUUGAACUUUGAAGGGCAUCAGAGACAGUUGCUUAGAAAAGUAUGAUGAAUUGGGAAUCUUAGGUUGAGUUUCAGUAAUGUCCAUGAUUUAGGGACUUGUUUUGGUAAUGCUGGAACUGAUGCAUGAAAACACAUAAGUUGUAGAAUUAGUAGGACCAAAAAGACAUGAAUAGUGACCAAGCAAUGAAUUUUAACUGUCUAUACUCAAAUUCUGAUUGUGGUGUGGAGACUGAAACAGGCUAAAGCUUACUAUGUAUGUGUGGUAUUAUUAUUCGAUUAAUUCCAGUCUAAUUAAUAGCGUUUCAAGC